RNAcentral lists this ribosomal RNA (250 nucleotides) under uncultured bacterium. RNAcentral's name for it is "partial 16S ribosomal RNA". It matches the Rfam family "Bacterial small subunit ribosomal RNA", at positions 74 to 339 of the family's 1533-position model. The record is from RNAcentral.
AAGAGCUUGCUCUUGCUGAGUUAGUGGCAAACGGGUGAGUAACGCGUGGGAAUCUACCCAUCAGUACGGAAUAACUUUUGGAAACAAAAGCUAAUACCGUAUAUUCUCUACGGAGGAAAGAUUUAUCGCUGAUGGAUGAGCCCGCGCAAGAUUAGGUAGUUGGUGGGGUAAUGGCCUACCAAGCUUACGAUCUUUAGCUGGUCUGAGAGGAUGAUCAGCCACACUGGGACUGAGACACGGCCCAGACUCC